Molecule: ribosomal RNA, 253 nt
Filed under: uncultured bacterium
Lineage: Bacteria
Description: partial 16S ribosomal RNA
Rfam family: Bacterial small subunit ribosomal RNA
Source: RNAcentral
UACGGAGGGUGCAAGCGUUGUCCGGAUUUAUUGGGUUUAAAGGGUGCGUAGGCGGCCCAUUAAGUCCGUGGUGAAAGCCAACAGCUCAACUGUUGAACUGCCAUGGAUACUGAUGGGCUUGAGUACAGACGAGGUAGGCGGAAUGGAUGCUGUAGCGGUGAAAUGCAUAGAUAGCAUCCAGAACCCCGAUUGCGUAGGCAGCUUACUAGGCUGUAACUGACGCUGAGGCACGAAAGCGUGGGGAGCGAACAGG